RNAcentral lists this small nucleolar RNA (138 nucleotides) under Ornithorhynchus anatinus (platypus). Lineage: Eukaryota; Metazoa; Chordata; Mammalia; Monotremata; Ornithorhynchidae. The record is from RNAcentral.
ACCCUCUCAGAAUCACACCUGGAGAGUUUCCAGUGCUCUACCAGUCUCUACUCUGGGAGGGAGAGUCAAGCAGUUGUUUACCCAUUCCAUUCCUAGCUUGGGCAGUGGCUAGCGAGUGGAAAGCAAUCUGCUACAAGU